GAAGAACCACACGAACGUUAUUCGGAAUUACUGGGCUUAAAGGGUGCGUAGGCUGUGCGGAAAGUUAGGUGUGAAAUCCCCCGGCUCAACCGGGGAAUUGCGCUUAAAACUACCGUGCUAGAGGAAGACAGAGGUGCGCGGAACUUCGGGUGGAGCGGUGAAAUGCGUUGAUAUCCGAAGGAACACCGGUGGCGAAAGCGGCUCACUGGGUCUUUUCUGACGCUGAUGCACGAAAGCUAGGGGAGCAAACGGG
This 253-nucleotide ribosomal RNA is filed under the name uncultured bacterium. RNAcentral describes it as "partial 16S ribosomal RNA". It matches the Rfam family "Bacterial small subunit ribosomal RNA", at positions 524 to 776 of the family's 1533-position model. The record is from RNAcentral.